Molecule: non-coding RNA, 85 nt
Organism: Felis catus (domestic cat)
Lineage: Eukaryota; Metazoa; Chordata; Mammalia; Carnivora; Felidae
Source: Rfam
GCCUGGGUGGCUCAGUCGGUUGAGCGUCUGACUUCGGCUCAGGUCGUGACCUCGCGGUCCGUGAGUUCGAGCCCCGCGUCGGGCU